Small nuclear RNA from Nannospalax galili (Upper Galilee mountains blind mole rat), 107 nucleotides. NCBI's taxonomy places the organism in Eukaryota, Metazoa, Chordata, Mammalia, Rodentia, Spalacidae. The record is from Ensembl.
UUGCUUGUUUUGGUAGUAUAUACACUAGAAUUGGAAUAAUACAAAGUAGAUUAGCAGGGACCCUGAACAAGGAUAACAUCCAAACUCAUUAAGCAUUACAUAUUUUU